This 752-nucleotide ribosomal RNA is filed under the name uncultured bacterium. RNAcentral's name for it is "bacterial SSU rRNA". It matches the Rfam family "Bacterial small subunit ribosomal RNA", at positions 33 to 773 of the family's 1533-position model. The record is from RNAcentral.
ACGCUGGCGGCAGGCCUAACACAUGCAAGUCGAGCGGUAGCACAGGAGAGCUUGCUCUCUGGGUGACGAGCGGCGGACGGGUGAGUAAUGUCUGGGAAACUGCCUGAUGGAGGGGGAUAACUACUGGAAACGGUAGCUAAUACCGCAUGACCUCGCAAGAGCAAAGUGGGGGACCUUCGGGCCUCACGCCAUCGGAUGUGCCCAGAUGGGAUUAGCUAGUAGGUGGGGUAAUGGCUCACCUAGGCGACGAUCCCUAGCUGGUCUGAGAGGAUGACCAGCCACACUGGAACUGAGACACGGUCCAGACUCCUACGGGAGGCAGCAGUGGGGAAUAUUGCACAAUGGGCGCAAGCCUGAUGCAGCCAUGCCGCGUGUGUGAAGAAGGCCUUAGGGUUGUAAAGCACUUUCAGCGAGGAGGAAGGCGCUGCAGUUAAUAGCUGCAGCGAUUGACGUUACUCGCAGAAGAAGCACCGGGCUAACUCCGUGCCAGCAGCCGCGGUAAUACGGAGGGUGCAAGCGUUAAUCGGAAUUACUGGGCGUAAAGCGCACGCAGGCGGUUUGUUAAGUCAGAUGUGAAAUCCCCGAGCUUAACUUGGGAACUGCAUUUGAAACUGGCAAGCUAGAGUCUUGUAGAGGGGGGUAGAAUUCCAGGUGUAGCGGUGAAAUGCGUAGAGAUCUGGAGGAAUACCGGUGGCGAAGGCGGCCCCCUGGACAAAGACUGACGCUCAGGUGCGAAAGCGUGGGGAGCAAAC